This 448-nucleotide ribosomal RNA is filed under the name Bacteroidetes bacterium SCGC AAA027-D09. RNAcentral's name for it is "bacterial SSU rRNA". It matches the Rfam family "Bacterial small subunit ribosomal RNA", at positions 354 to 798 of the family's 1533-position model. The record is from RNAcentral. Lineage: Bacteria; Pseudomonadati; Bacteroidota.
GUAAGGAAUAUUUGGUCAAUGGACGCAAGUCUGAACCAGCCAUGCCGCGUGCAGGAAGACGGCCCUAUGGGUUGUAAACUGCUUUUGUCGGGGAAGAAACCCACCUACGUGUAGGUGGCUGACGGUACUCGAAGAAUAAGGAUCGGCUAACUCCGUGCCAGCAGCCGCGGUAAUACGGAGGAUCCAAGCGUUAUCCGGAUUUAUUGGGUUUAAAGGGUGCGUAGGCGGCGUUGUAAGUCAGUGGUGAAAGUUUUCAGCUUAACUGGAAAAUUGCCAUUGAUACUGCAGUGCUUGAGUAUAGAUGAGGUGGGCGGAAUGUGUCAUGUAGCGGUGAAAUGCAUAGAUAUGACACAGAACACCGAUUGCGAAGGCAGCUCACUAAACUAUAACUGACGCUGAGGCACGAAAGCGUGGGGAUCAAACAGGAUUAGAUACCCCUGUAGUCCGG